RNAcentral lists this long non-coding RNA (15421 nucleotides) under Selaginella moellendorffii. RNAcentral describes it as "long non-coding RNA (SMOE_LNC000086)". Lineage: Eukaryota; Viridiplantae; Streptophyta; Lycopodiopsida; Selaginellales; Selaginellaceae. The record is from RNAcentral.
CUCAGCAAUGUUGGUGAAGGAAUCGAUGGCAGCAUAGCCCUUUGCGUAGAUUUCCUUGCCGACGAUAUUGUAGAUGGCGCGAACUGGAGCAAGCACGGCCUGGUAUGCGUAUGGCAGGUACUCGGUUGCGCCGACAGCAUCAAAUAUGGAGUCCAAGAACCACUCGCUGUGAGUCGAUGCUAGAACAUUGUUCACCAUGAUGCUGCCGGAGAGAGUGAGCGGGUUGUAGAGGCCUACCUUCUCAACCUUUUGUAUUUCUGGAAAAGUAGCACAGAAUCGUUAAAUUCGAAACAUCCCACCAAUAUAUAUGCUUUUUGCUUUCCUUACCAAUGAUUUGAGAUGAUUCCCACAGGGAAUCUCCAACCUUGAGGUCCUCGGCUCUCUUGUACACGAGCUUCCCAUUGACAGCAACGGGAACAAAGUGGCCUGCAGUGAGUUCCAACAUGUUUGAAGCGCUGUGCACUUGGAAAAACUUGGACAUGGCAUCAGCAUCCUUGUGGCCGAAGGCAUACACAUCUGAAUAGAUAUUCUUCCCCACUGCAACCUGUGGAAAAGUUAUACUUGGACAAGAUUUAUGUGAAAGUAUUCAACCUUGUCUCCAACAUUAAGCUCCCUCACGAACUUAAUUUCUCCAUUAUACAUCUGAACAGUUGCAUCUCCUAUAAUAGCUUGAAAAUUGUAUGAAAGAAAAAAACGUGAAUUCAUAUGAACCCUACCUGGGAAGCAUCCUGGAGUGGCUGGAGUGGCUGGAGGGGGUGGAGUGCCUGGAGGAGGAGUGGCUGGAGGGGGUGGAGUGCCUGGAGGGGGUCUAGUGCCUGGAGGAGGAGUGGCUGGAGGAGGAGUGGCUGGAGGAGGAGGAGUUGGAGUUUGUGCCACUGCAACGCUUGCAGCGAAGGCAAUGAAAGAAGUCAGGAAGAUUAGAGCACUGGUAUGAGCCAUUUCAAAACUGCUGGUCGCUAACACUCUAGGAGCAACCCAUUUUAUAGCAGAAUGUAAGCAUCUAAUGUUUGGUUUCGUGCACCAAAAAUUCAAACACAGGGGACAUGUAACUAGUGAAUGGUGGUCCUAAUUAAAAAUAUUGAAUCCUUCUUAUUUUGGUGAGAACCUAAAUACCAUCCAUGGAGAAACUAAAGAGGAAAGUGUUUUUAUUAAAAUAAAUUUGUGAGGGCCAAGUGUACAGCUAUAAUAUCAUAUAUUAAUAUUAGCAUAGUGGGAUUUUAGUAGCUGUUAAAUUGGUUUCAAUCAAGAUUACUCGUUCUUGUAUAUAAAUUAGGGUUUUUGGGCUAAUUUAUAUGCACAUUUCUAUAUUCCCUUUCUAUAUUCCAAACAUUCACAUUGGUGGAGAUGAGGGGCACUUUUAAUUGUCCCUAAGGAGUGUUUGGAUUUAGAAUUUUGGUUUAGAUUUAUCUUUUGCAUCGUCUAGAUCUAGGUUUUUCCAUUUCCUUUCUUUUGUUCUUUCCUUUUAGGAUUUUGGUUUGGAUAGCUUUUUGCAUUGUCUAGAUCUACCAUUUCUUUCUAGCUUUUUGUCAUUUCUCUUUUUUUGCUCUUUCUUUUUCAUUCGUCUUCAUGGCAAAUCAGUAAUCUCCUCCUUUAACUCUAGAGUAGUAGUUGGUACAAUUGCUUGAUGCUAUGCACUUGCAAUUGAACAAUUAAACUCAAUUGAUGGUGGCAUUCACGGCACGUGGUCCAACUCUUCUUGCUCUUCGUGCCAAUCCUCACGUUCUGCUAAAGUUCUUUCAUGGGAAUCCUAGGGAUGAUGUGUACCAUUGGUUCAAUCACUUCACAGUGAUUGCCACAUAUCAUUUUUGGGAUGAUGCUCGAUGUUUAUGUGAGUUUCCCACAUGUCUCCAAGGGACGGCAUUGUAAUGGUACAAUGGUUUGAGUGCAACCACUCGUGGAGAUUAGAGUGUUCUCCUAGAUGUCUUUAAACGCGCCUUCGGACAUGCCGAUGACUAUGAUGAUGCCUUUCAACAAUUGCAUCGUCUUCGCCAAGGGCCAUCUGAGAUAGUGAUGCAAUUUGGCAUUCAUUUCCGAAGUCUUUUGCUUUGUGCGGAUCCAAAUAUGUCGGAGCGGAUCAAACUAGGAAUGUUGUGGCUAGCACUUCGUCAAGAUCUUGUCGGACUUGUGCAUGCACUUGCUCCUGCCACCCUUGACAAUGCUCUUCGCUUGGCACAACGUUAUAAGACGUCACCUCUUCCACUUCUCGCUGCACGUCCUUUAGCUCCACUUCCUAUAGAUGGUGGUCCUGUUUCAAUGUGUAAGCUCCUGAGUUUAGACUUCUCGGGAGGUCACCCAAUCUAGUACUAUUCAAACCCAAGGACACUUAACCCCAAAUAUCCUAAGACUCUUAACCAAUUGGAAAAGGGGGUGCACUCUUAUUCAUAGGCCCUUUCCCUCUAUAUUUGAACCCUAUAGACCAUCUCUCAAGUCGUUCUCUUUGGUUGCUUACAAUCCACCACGCUUCCCUACAAGUUCACGCCCUCGUGAAUGGAAGUUGAGAGCCGCAGCUCUCUCUCGAGCCCUGCUCUCUUGACACCCUACCCCUCGGGUCGAGCCCAGCGGGAGCAAACUGGACCAGCCAGAUGUCAAUCAAUGUCAAUCAACAUGUGGUGCAAUUCCCUUAGCCAACCAACAGAGUCAGACCCGAGACCGUUCUGAUACCAAAUGUAAGCUCUUGAGUUUGGACUUCUCGGGAGGUCACCCAACCCAGUACUAUUCAAACCCAAGGACACUUAACCCCAGAUAUCCCAAGACCCUUAACCGAUUGGAAAAGGGGGUGCACUCUUAUUCAUGGGCCCUUUCCCUCUAUAUUUAAACCCCAUGGACCGUCUUUAAGGUCGUUCUCUUUAGUUGCUUACACAAUGGAGGUUGAUGCUGUUGCUGCUUGAGUCCAAGGACAAGGGCGAGGAAGUGGUCGUGGCCGUGAUGUUCGCUGUUGGGCAUGUGAUGAAGUUGAUCAUACUUAUUGGCAUUAUCGGCGUUUUCCGGAUUGGCGACCUCCAUUUCCUAGGUGGAGACUUUGGCAUUAGCAACGUCCCGUUGGUGCUGCUGCAGUGGACAGUUUGAACACUGCGAUACAUCUAGGAAAUGAGGAGUCGCAUGAGUAACGGAGGGACCUUAUGCGAAUAAGUUAGUGACCCCUCCAUCUUUCUUUCGGAAGUAUCAUCAAGGGGUUCACUCGGCACUGGUUCAUUCAGUGUUUACUUUCCAAGCUCAUUUUUAUAACAAGAGGUCUGCUAUUAUUCUCUCCGUGUUGGUUGAUAUAGGUUCGAGUUUAUCUUCUAUUGCUCGACCUGUUGCCACAAGUUGUCAUCUACACUUGCGUCAUGUGGCAGAUCCGAUUUUCAUUCUUUAUGGCAACGGCCGUACACAUGCAUGUGCAUAAGAUGAGGUGGACCUGGUUGUGCAUGUAGGCGAUCUCGAGCUUGAGUUGUAGUCGUUGCAGGUGGUGCCGAGUCAAGCUUUUGACCUCAUUCUUGGUAUAGAUUGGUUGCAGCACAAUCAUACCAAGUGUGAUUUUGAGGCUUCUCCUCUUUGUCUCAUACUUUCUUAUGUUUCAUCCAUUCCUCUCACUUCCGUACCUUUUCGUCCCUUUACUUCUACCUCUGCUUCCAUUACUUUUGUUUCCCCACUAUUUCCUCCUAUGUUUCCAUCUUAUUCUACUCUUCCCUUUUCCGAUCCCUCCGACGAUAUUUGUGUUGUAGCGGUGGACUGACUCAUGAAGGAGUAUUCUGAUCUCUUUGAAUUUGACUUAUCAUCUGGGGCCAAGAUUGCCACACGUCAUCCAAUUCCAACCAAGGAUGCUUGUCCAAUCAAGGUUCCCGUUCGUCUUCAGUCACUCCGCGACUUUUGAAUAACACCCUUCUCCAACAUCUCUUGGAUAUUUGCCCGUAAAAUCUUGAUCUCCUUGGGUCCUUGGGCAUUUGAACCUCAUCUUGUGACAAAGCCUGAUGGGAGUAUUCAUUUCUGUAUCGACUAUUGUCCGUUAAACUAAGUGACGAUCCCAGAUGUAUACCCUAUUCCUCACACUGCUAAUCUCUUGGAUCGUCUGGGGCGAAGUCGCUGGUUCACCAAGCUCGAUUUUGCUUCUGGGUACUGGCAAGUACCAAUGGCCGAAGUAGAUAUUCCUAAGACUGCUUUUCAUACACCAUUUGGUUUGUAUGACUUCUUGGUGAUGUUGUUUGGUUUGAACAAUACUCUAACAACUUUCUAGCGGAUGAUGUAUGAGGUUCUUUGCGAUAUGCCAAAGGUGACUACUGAAUUCAUUGAUGAUGUCUUGAUCCACUCGGAGGGGACGUGGGAGGACCACAUUUAUGAUGUUUGUAAAGUGUUGGAUCAGCUACGCGAUGUUGGUUUAAAGCUGAAGCAGUCGAAGUGCAUGUUUGGGUCCAAGGACACAACUUAUCUUGUGUACCGUAUUUCUCGUGAGGGUUUGCAAGUUGAUCAUAACAAACUUGUGGCUGUUCUAAAGUUCCCUACUCCGAAGUGUGUGAAUGAUGUGCAGCGCUUUUUGGGCAAGGUGCAGUAUCUCGGUCAUUUUGUGGAUCAUCUUUUUGAUCGCACUGCACCGUUGCGAGCGUUGUGUAAGCCACAAAUUUUUCCUUUCUAAUUUGCCAGCUUACCUCGUUUAUCUGGCCAACUCUGCCUUGGCUUGUGCUAAGUUCCCUCGCCAAGGUUCUCGCCCAUGGUACCAGCUCCUACUUGGUUCUACUUGGUUUCAGCUACUCACUGCAUGAGCAACGGAGUGUUAGCCAUCCAUCUACAAAAUCCCAAAUCUCUCCCAAUCCCCCUCCCCGAGUUAGACUGGACUUAAGGUUCGGCUACACUCCCCGCAGGCACAAGCAACCAAGCACACCAAACCUCCAGAUUCCUAACACCCCUUGGUACCACAAGACUUGAUCAUGGGACCCUCUAAAUCCCAAGCCUUGGGUGCAACACUUGCUUCGGGACGUCGGGGCGAAACACCAUGGCCUAACGGCCCGGUAUGGGUACCUCUACGCCCCCACUUCUCUCCCAAAGGGAAGGCCCAAGCCCCUAGGAAGGGCGAGGACCAAUGAGCCACAAGGUACUCAAGUGGGGCACCACUCCACAUGAGCCGGGAGCACCUUAGUCGGUUUCCCUUUCGGGAGUGGGAGCUGCUCUUGAGCACUUCCCUGGGUGGCCCCUCCGGCACCACCCAAGCCCAUGCUCACUCCCACCCAAGGCCCCUCGGCCCCAAUCUCAACCUCAAGUCAGUUUGGAAGCACUACUGGAGAGUUCCUUCAAGAAUGGUUCCUAGACCUCACUAUCCCUACUAUACUUUUGGAACCCCCUGCAGCCCCCCCCCCUCCCCCCCUGGGAGAUGCACACUUUGGGCUUUCACCCCUUGAGCUAUAUUAGUAUUUGGACUUAGUCUCAGAAUCGAUCUCGGACUCGAUCUCGGACCCGACUUCGGACUCGGUCUCAGACUCAAUUUCAGACUCGAUCUCGGACCCGAUCUCGGACUCGACUUCGGACUCGACCUCGGACUCCGUCUUGGACCCGAUUUGGAUCUCAGACUUUGUCUCGAACUCGGUCUCGAACUCGGUCUCCGAUUCGGCCUCGGCUCGAUCCCGGACUCUAUCUCGAACUCGGUCUCUGAGUCGGUCUUGGACUCGAUCUUCAACUCGGUCCCAUCCAAUGAACUCUUUUUGUCAUUUCGGUCAUGCUUUCGGGGAUCUUUAGCCUACGAUAUCUCGGGGAGUCGGUUCCUUACACGUUGCUGAAGUCAUCAAUAUCAUCUUUCACAUGGUCUCCAGAUUAUGAGCAGAUGUUUAAGGAUCUCAAAGAGCUAUUAACGACUCCUCCGGUUUUGGCAUAUCCUGACUACACUUGACCUUUUAUUUUGCACAUGGAUGCUUCUGAUAUUGGUUUUGGAGAUGUGUUGAUGCAAGAGAGCUCGAGUGUGCUUGGUCAGCACCAUCCCAUUGCGUAUAUAAACCGUACAUUACAACUAGCCGAAAUGAACUACUCCACGACAAAGAAAGAGUGUUUAGCAGCAGUUUGGGGUUUCGAGAAACUUCAUGUAUAUCUACAUGGUUCUCGGAUGUUACUUGAAGGUGAUCAUGCUAUUGUUACUUCAUUAUUGAAGCGGAAGAACUUAGUUGGUUAUACUGCUCAAUGGGCUUUGAAGCUUUAGAUAUAUGAUUUUGAUGUUGUUCAUUGCCCAGGGAGUUCUUUGGCUGAUGCUAAUGCCCUUUCUCGAGCUCGUCUUCUUUCUCCAUUUUCUUUUCAUGUUUCUAAUGAGCUUGUUGUUCCAGCCUCUGUGGAUUUUCUAGACGAGGAUUCUGUGCCGUCGGCGGUUGUUGUACUUGACGUUCAGUGUCCACAAGGCGCCGAGCAAGAUCUACCUUCUCUUGAUGAGGUUCACGAGGCUCAAAAGAUUGAGCUGUGGAUUCGAAGGCUUUGAGAUGGGUUUGAGAAUGUUGCAUCACUUGUUGAUGACUUGCCUUUCCGGCAUUUACAUUCUCAAUAUCACCUCGAAGACGGCCUUAUUUAUUUUGUGGGGACGAAUCCUGACGAUCAUUUACAAUUGGUGGUGCCUUCUAUCUUUAUUCCGCGGUUUCUCCAUGCCUAUCAUGAUUCUCCUAUUCUAGAUGGGCAUAUGGGACAUCGUCGUAUAAUUGAGAAGUUGUGCAGGUUUUUCUAUUAGUUGGAGAUGCGACGUGAUAUUAUCUGGUAUGUGCGUCGCUACAUUUGAUGCCAAGCUUGUAAUACUCCCCUUCAGGCUGCGGAAGGACUGUUGGAGUCAAUUGCAAUUUCCCAUCCAUUUGAGUUGGUGGCAUUUGAUCUUAUGGGACCUUUUCCACGGUCGACUGUUGGCAAUGAGUAUGUUAUUAUUAUUUCUGACUACUUGACUUAAUUGGGUGGAAGUUGGUGCUCUUGCUAGCGCCUCUGCAACUUCUAUUGGAUACUUCCUCCUCAAUCGAGUGGUGUUUUAGCAUUCUUGUCCAAAGCAGAUUCUUUCAGAUAAUGGUCCUGCAUUUAUGGCUGAGGCAUUUCAUGUUUUGACGUCUCGGCUAGGGAUACGCCACACUUUCACGAGUGCUUAUCAUUCACAAUCAGAUGGUCUGGUGGAAUGGCUCAUUCAGACAUUCAAAGGAAUGAUUGCGAAGUAUGUGAACUUUCAGCAUUCUGAUUGGGAUGGUUAUUUGCAUCUCUUCGGUAUGCAUAUAUCACAGGGGUAUAGAGUUUUGUUGGUGCUUCACCAUAUAAACUUCUAUAUGGUCAUGAUCCAAUAUUACCAACGGAGCUGGGUUUACCUUCGCGAUUGCCACGAGCUGUGGAUGUUAAGUCGUGGGACUAGUAUUUGACGAGCAUUCUUCCAUUUGUCUGAGCAGAGUCUACUGAACACUUAGGCCAUGUAUAAGUGGGACAACAACGGUGCUAUAACUCCCAUCAUCGUCCACCUGCGGAGUACAAAGUGGAUGAUUUGGUGCUAGUCUGUUUUCCCCAUCUUAUAGUAUGUGGUUUAUCUAAGGGGCUCCUUGCGUAGUGGAAAGGACCGUAUUGAGUGUUGCGGCAAGUUGGACCACAAGUUUAUUAGGUUCGGCAUGACGUCCAGCAGAUCGAUCCUCAAGAGAUUGUGCAUGUGCAACGGUUGAAACGCUUCAUACAAAGGGAUCAGGAGCAGUUAAUACCACCUAUAAAUUUGUUAAUGCCUCCUCCUAACGUUCCUCCAAAUCUUGGCCUGUUUACAAGAGAACCCUGAUAGUUUUCUAUUAUUUCGAGAGGAGGGGAUGAUGUGAGGGCCAAGUGUACGGCUACGAUGCCGUAUAUUAAUAUUAGUAUAGUGGGAUUUUGGUAGCUAUCGGAUUGGUUUCAAUCUGGACCACUCGUUCCUGUAUAUAAGCUAGGGUUUUUAAGCUAAUUUAUAUGCACAUUUUUGUAUUCCCUUUCCAUAUUCCAAACACUCACAAAUUAAGAUUAGUUUAAAGUUGUUUUACAUUUAUUUCUCACACUACUAAUUUUGGGUUAAAAGCUUGAAAACUUCAAAAGGUUGAUUUAUUCCUUUAAAUACCGUACCAACUGAAUUUAUUUAUUCCUUUAAAUACCCUAAUCCAAUGUCGAAGGAGAGACUGGAUCAUGGCCUGGAGAAGGCGGUGAGUUUGUACAAAGAGUGCUCAGGCACAGGGAAGGGCCGUUUUCUAGUGGCAGACGAUGUGAUCUACUCUAGCUUUGAGAAAUGGAGUUCCAACAAUGAAGACUGCUGGAGGCUGGCCUUCCUCGAGGGAGAAGCGGGAUCCGGCGUUGGCAGUGUCUACAUAUUUGGCGAUCCCAGUAACGUCCACAACGAGACGAAGCAGUGGUUCUUCCACAAGCUAUGCCGGCAAGUGGAGAGGCACUUGAUGCUCACGAGCCCUGAGCUGGACAUCCGCUCCUUCGUCCGGGUCCUGGGAUCAUCGAGGUUUGCGCUUGGUAACGGGAGCAAGGAGCCAGGCGCCUCUUUCUCCACGGCCUCGCAGAAGCAUCCAUUCCCUCGAGUUGUCCUUGAAGUGGCCUACAAGAACGAGUCUUUUGAGGUACUCGUCAGGGAACUUAACCACUGGGUUCACUCGGGCUGUAAGCUCGCAAUCAGGAUACAAAUCUCGUAUGCCACCCUCAGCACUAGCAGCAGCAGCCUGCAACUGUUGUGGGUGCAGGAGGAAGCUGGCAAAGGUACACAGAUUAUAAAUUUUAGUCCUAGCGUUUGCACCUUGGAAACAAAGGAGGAUUUCUUGGUGUGGUUCCCGUUCAGCAUGCUUUCCAGCGAUGUUCCAGACUGCCAUGACAUCCCACUCACGUUUGAUCUGUAUCAGCUCCAGUCGACGAUCAAGGAGCUGGUGCAGGAAGAGUUUGAUAUGUAUCAGCUACAGUCGGUGAUCAAGGAGAUGGUAUAGGAAGAGUUGGAGCAACCUUGUGAAGAAUAUGUCCUGCUCCUUAAAUGAGGAACAUCUUCAGUGGUUCUUUCUCCCAACUUAAUCUUCAAGAUGAUUGAAGAUUAGAAUUAGUAAAAUCUCUUGAUUUAAAUUUUAUUAAGAAUUCAACGAAGAUAACGCUGCUCACAUUGAAACUCUAAAGAGCAAGAUCGAAAUUUCUGCUGUUGCUGCUGCUGCCGUGAGAGUGUCCAAAUCUUUUCUCGAGAUGCUACUGCCAGCGGUGCUGCUGGAGCUGGAGCUGCUGGAGCUUGACGAUGGUGGAGUGGCAACGCUAUCUGUGAGCGAUGCAUUUUGGACAUCGAUGGACAGCUUUUGGCCCCCUUGGCAGUGAUUUGGAAAGCCACAGAGGAAGUACCAUGAUCCGGGGGCCUAGUCAUUGCGAUCGAAGUGUCACCGUUGUUGAAAGACUGGAUCGGUGAGGCGCUGGAGCAUCGGUCCCAGUCAUCCUCGGACACUUCCAGAACGUCGUGCCGUUGGCUGUUGUACUUGAAACCUUGCAUGCAUAGAAGAUGCUCCCGUUAGAAAACUAUCGAGUAGGACAGGAAGAAAUCAAUCAACAAAGCAAAAAACAGAAAAGGAAAAAGAAAAGAAAAGAGAACGGGACACAAUAGUUUUUCCUUAACUAGUUUGUAAUUAAAUUUAAUGUUAAUAAUUAAAUACUUAGAACUGGCUAAUGAGAUUAUUCGAGAUUCUAGCAAAUUUAGUAAGAUUGCCUAUUUCAAGCUACCUUUAUUGGUCACAAAUAUAUUACUCCAUUGACUAAAUUAGAAGCUCUUCCGAGCAUUUCCAAACUGUGUUCACCGAUUGGAGACAAUCAUUCCACAGAAUUACGUCUUCACAGACACAUUCCCUUUUUAGCCGUCUUGAGCAAUAGAUCAUCAAGGUGGAGGCAAAUUAAAACAUGCAUUUUAAACCUAAUAAAUACCAUUGAUGGCAAUAGCUUCAAGUGGCCCACUAGAUUAAAGGAACAUACUUUAGAUACUACUUGCCACCAAAAGUCUAUGAAUUUGGGAGGAAUUUCGGGAGAAGACUGAGUGAGUGGGGGUGGGGCAUAUUUGCCGGGCGCUAAUGACCCUAUAAAUAUGUAUUAAUAACAAUAAUCAUUGUGUGAGUGCCUGGAAUAUGGAAAGGGAAUACAGAAAUGUGCAUCCCAAUUAGCCCAAAAACCCUAGCUUAUAUAUAGGAGCGAGUGGUCCGGAUUGAAACCAAUCCGACGGCUACCAAAAUCCACUACGCUAAUAUUAGUAUACGGCAUCAUAGCCGUACACUUGGCCCUCACAUCAUCCCCUCCUCUCAGAAUAAUGGAAGGCCAUCAGGGUUCUCUUGUAGACGGGCCAGGAUCUGGAGGAACGUCAGGAGGAGGCAUCGGCGGAUCUGUAGACGGUAUUAACUGCUCCUGAUCCCUUUGUAUGAAGCGUUUUAACCGCUGCACAUGCACAAUCUCCGGAGGAUCGGCCUACUGAAUGUCGUGCCGAACCUCAUAAACUUGCGGUCCAACUUGCCGCAACACCUGAUACGGUCCUUUCCACUGCGCAAGGAGCCCCUUAGAUAAACCAUGUACCGUAAGAUGGGGAAAACGGACUAACACCAAAUCAUCCACUUUGUACUCCGCAGAUGAACGAUGAUGGGAGUUGUAGCGCCGUUGUUGUCCCACUUGUACGUGGCCUAAGUGUUCAGCAGACUCUGCUCGGACAAGUGGAAGAAUGCUUGUCAAAUACUGAUCCCAUGACCUAGCAUCAGGAGCUUGUGGCAAUCGCGAAGGUAAACCCAGCUCUGUUGGUAAUAUUGGAUCAUGACCAUAUAGAAGUUUAUAUGGUGAAGCACCAACAAAACUCUGCACCCCUAUGACAUAGGCAUACCGAAGAGACGGCAAAUAACCAUCCCAAUCCGAAUGCUGAAAGUUCACAUACUUCGCAAUCAUCCCUUUGAAUGUCCGAACAAGCCGUUCCACCAGACUGUCUGAUUGUGGAUGAUAAGCACUCAUAAAAGUGUGGCGUAUCCCCAACCGAGAUGUCAAAACAUGAAAUACCUCAGCCAUAAAUGCAGGACCAUUAUCCGAAAGAAUCCGCUCUGGACAAGAAUGUUGGAACACCACUCGAUUGAGGAGGAAGUAUCCAACAGCAGUUGCAGAGGCGCUAGCAAGAGAACCAACUUCCACCCAACGAGUCAAGUAGUCAGAAGCAAUAAUAACAUACUCAUUGCCAGCAGUCGAUCGUGGAAAAGGUCCCAUAAGAUCAAAUGCCACCAACUCAAACGGACGGGAAAUUGCAAUUGACUCCAACCGUCCUUCCGUAGCACAAGGGGGAGUAUUACGAGCUUGGCACCAAACGCAGCUACGCACAUACCGGAUAAUAUCACGUCGCAUCUCCGGCCAAUAGAAAGACCUACGCAGCUUCUCGGUGAUACGACGGUGUCCCAUAUGCCCACCUAGAACAGGAGAAUCAUGGUAGGCAUGGAGAAACCGCGGAAUAAACACUGAAGGCACCACCAACCGUAAAUGAUCAUCAAGAUCUGUCCCCACAAAAUAAAUAAGGCCAUCUUUAAGGCGAUAUUGAGAAUGUAAAUGCCGGAAAGGCAAGUCAUCAGCAAGUGAUGCAGGAUUCUCAAACCCAUCUUGAAGCCUUCGAAUCCAUGGCUCAAUCUUUUGAGCUUCGCGAACCUCAUCAAGAGAAGGUAGAUCUUGCUCUACGCCCUGUGGACACUGAACGUCAAGGACAGCAACCGCCGACAGCACAGAAUCCUCAUCUAGAAAAUCCACAAACGCUGGAACAACAGGUUCGUCAGAAACAUGAGAAGUGAGUGGAGAAGGAAGAGGAGCUCGAGAAAGGGCAUCAGCAUCAGCCAUAGAACUCCCUGGGCGAUGAACAACAUCGAAAUUAUAUAUCUGAAGCUUCAAAGCCCAUCGAGCCGUACGACCAACCAGGUUCUUCCGCUUCAAUAAUGAAGUAACAGCAGCAUGGUCACCUUCAAGUAACGUCCGAGAACCAUGUAGAUAUGCAUGAAGUUUCUCGAAACCCCAGACUGCUGCUAAACACUCCUUCUCUGUCGUGGAGUAGUUCAUCUCCGCUGGUUGUAAUGUACGGCUUAUGUAUGCAAUGGGAUGGCGCUGACCAGGCACACUCAAGCUCUCUUGCAUCAACACACCUCCAAGACCAAUGUCAGAAGCAUCCACGCGCAAAAUAAAAGGUCGAGUGUAGUCAGGAUAUGCCAAAACCGGAGGAGUCGUCAAUAGCUCUUUGAGAUCCACGAACGCCCGCUCACAAUCCGGAGACCAGAUGAAAGAUGACGUUGAUGACUUCAGCAACGCUCGCAAUGGUGUAGUGCGAUCGGAAAGAUGAUCCACAAAACGACCGAGAUACUGCACCUUACCCAAAAAACGCUGCACAUCAUUCACACAUUUCGGAGUAGGGAACUUUAGAACAGCCACAAGUUUGUCAGGAUCAAUUUGCAAACCCUCACGAGAAAUACGGUACCCAAGAUAAGUUGUGUCCUUGGACCCAAAUACGCACUUUGACAGCUUCAGCUUUAAACCAACAUCACGUAGCCAAUCCAACACUUUACAAACAUCACGAACGUGCUCCUCCCACGUCCCCUCCGAGUGGAUCAAGACAUCAUCAAUGAAGUCAGCAGUCACUUCCGGCAUAUCGCAAAGAACCUCGUCCAUCAUCCGCUGGAAAGUUGCGGGAGCAUUGUUCAAACCAAACGGCAUCACCAAGAACUCAUAUAAACCAAAUGGUGUACGAAAAGCAGUCUUAGGAAUAUCUUCUUCGGCCAUUGGUACUUGCCAAUACCCAGAAGCAAGAUCUAGCUUGGUGAACCAACGACUUCGCCCCAGACGAUCUAAGAGAUCAGCAGUGUGAGGAAGAGGAUACACAUCUGGGAUCGUCACUUCGUUUAACGGGCGAUAGUCGAUGCAGAAACGAAUACUCCCAUCAGGCUUUGUCACAAGAUGAGGUUCACAUGCCCAAGGACUCCACGACUUCCGAAUAACACCCUUCUCCAGCAUUUCCUUGACGUUGGCUCAUAAAUCUUGAUCUCCUUAGGUGACUGACGACGAACAGGAACCUUGAUUGGACGAGCAUCCCCGGUUGGAAUCGGAUGACGUGUGGCAAUCUUGGCUCCAGACGAUAGGUCAAAUUCAAAGAGAUCAGAAUACUCCUUCAUGAGCCGGUCAACUGCUGCAACACAAAGAUCGUCGGAGGGAUCGGAAAAGGGAAAAGCAGAACAAGAUGGAAACACAGAAGGAAAGAGUGGGGGAACAAAAGUAAUGGAAGCAGAGGUAGAAGUAGAGGGAUGAAGAGGUAUGGAAGUGAGAGGAAUGGAUGAAACAUAAGGAAGUAUGAGACAAGGGGGAGAAGCCUCAAAGUCACACUUGGCAUGAUUGCGCUGCAACCAAUCCAUACCAAGAAUGAGGUCAAAAGCUUGACUCGGCACCACCCGCAACGACUGCAACUCAAGUUCGAGAUCGCCCACAUGCACAACUAGGUCCACCUCAUCCCGUGCACAUGCAUGUGUACGGCCGUUGCCAUAAAGAAUGAAAACUGGUUCCGCCGCACGACGCAAGUGUAGACGACAACGUGUGGUAACAGGUCGAGCAACAGAAGAUAAACUCGAACCUGUAUCAACCAACACGGAGAGAAUAAUAGGAGACCUCUUGUUAUAAAAACGAGCUUGGAAAGUAAACACGGGAUGAACCGGUGCCGAGUGAACCCCUUGAUGAUACUCCCGAAAGAAAGAUGGAGGGGUUACUGAUUUAUUCGCGCAAGGUCCCUCCAUUACUCGUGCGACUCCUCGUUUCUCGGAUGCAUCUCGGUGUCCAGACCUUCCACUGCAGCAGCACCCAUGGGACGUUGCUGACGCCAAGGUCUCCACCCAGGAAAUGGAGGUCGCCAAUCCGGAAAACAACGGCAACGCCGAUAAGUAUGACUAACUUCAUCACACGCCCAGCAGCGAACAUCACGGCCACGACUACGUCCUCGUGCUUGUCCUUGGACUCGAGCAGCAGCAGCAUCAACCUCCAUUGGAACAGGACCAUCACCCAUAGGAAGGGGAGCGGAAGGACGUGCAGCAAGAAGUGGAAGAGGCGACGUCUCAUAACGUUGUGCCAAGCGAAGAGCAUCAUCAAGGGUGGCAGGAGCAAGUGCAUGCACAAGUCCGACAAGAUCUUGACGAAGUGCUAGCCACAACAUUCCUAGCUUGAUCUGCUCCGACAUAUUUGGCUCCGCACGAAGCAAAAGACUUCGGAAACGAACGCUAAAUUGCAUCACCGACUCAGAUGGCCCUUGGCGAAGACGAUGCAAUUGUUGGAAAGCAUCAUCACAAUCAUCGGCAUGGCCGAAGGCGCGUUUGAAGACGUCCAGGAGAACACUCCAAUCCCCACGAGUGGCUGCGCUCAAACCAUUGUACCACUGCAACGCCGUCCCUUGGAGACAUGUGGGAAACUCACGCAAACGUCGAGCAUCAUCCCAAGAAUGAUAUGUGGCAAUCACCGUGAAGUGAUCGAACCAAUGGUACACAUCAUCCCCAGGAUUCCCGCGAAAGAACUCCGGCCGAACGCGAGGAUUGGCACCAAGAGUAGGAGGAGUUGGACCACAUGCCGUGAAUGCCGCCAUCAAUUGAGUUUGGUUGUUCAAUUGCAAGCGCAUAGCAUCAAGCAAUUGGACCAACUGCUGCUCGAGAGUCAAAGGAGGAGAGUACUGAUCUGCCAUGGAGAAUGAAAAAGAAAGAGCAAAAGAAAAUGACAAAAAGCUAGAAGGAAAUGGUAGAUCUAGACAAUGCAAAAAGCUAGAUCUAAACCAAAAUCCUGAAAAGAAAAAAAAGAAGGAAAUGGAAAAAGCUAGAUCUAGACAAUGCAAAAGUUAGAUCUAAACCAAAAUCCCAAAUCCAAGCACUCCUCAAGGGCAAUCAAACGUGCCCCUCACCUCCACCAAUGUGAAUGCUUGGAAUAUGGAAAGGGAAUACAGAAAUGUGCAUCCCAAUUAGCCCAAAAACCCUAGCUUAUAUACAGGAGCGAGUGGUCAGGAUUGAAACUAAUCCGACGGCUACCAAAAUCCACUACGCUAAUAUUAGUAUACAGCAUCAUAGCCGUACACUUGGCCCUCACAAUUGUAAUUUAUAAUAAUAUCCUUAACGAUUAAAAUUAUCUAAAUUAGAAUUCUUGCCCAAAUUGUUUACACCUUGGAGGCCAGCACAAGACCAGCAAUUCCAAAGGUGAGAGCAACGCUUCCUCCAUACUUUGUUCCAAACUCAGCAAUGUUGGUGAAGGAAUCGAUGGCAGCAUAGCCCUUUGCGUAGAUUUCCUUGCCCACGAUGUUGUAGAUGGCGCGAACUGGAGCAAGCACGGCCUGGUAUGCGUAUGGCAGGUACUCGGUUGCGCCGACAGCAUCAAAUAUGGAGUCCAAGAACCACUCGCUGUGAGUGGAUGCUAGAACAUUGUUCACCAUGAUGCUGCCGGAGAGAGUGAGCGGGUUGUAGAGGCCUACCUU